This is a small nucleolar RNA of Anser brachyrhynchus (Pink-footed goose), 70 nucleotides long. Its record names the gene SNORD30. It matches the Rfam family "Small nucleolar RNA SNORD30". From Rfam's summary of the family: U30 is a member of the C/D class of snoRNA which contain the C (UGAUGA) and D (CUGA) box motifs. The record is from Ensembl. NCBI's taxonomy places the organism in Eukaryota, Metazoa, Chordata, Aves, Anseriformes, Anatidae.
UGCCGUGAUGAAUUCCUCAGGAAUCUCGUUCGGCUGAACGCUGCUGUUGAGGACUCGGACUCUGAUCCCU